GGGCAGUGGAGCAUGUGAAAGGCAAUGGGAGACAGCAUAACGCGGAAGAAACUUCCACUUCUCGAGUGGAAGAAAAUGUUAAAGGUAGCAACAUAAGCUUCAGGUCAAAAGACCCUCCUGAGCAGCCGAGAGCUGAAGCAGUUCCUUCAGAAUUUGCAACUAUAAGGCCAGGUCUUGCUGCAGAUCUGAAAUUUGGAGGAUCUGGUUCCUAUCCGAAUCUACCAUGGGUUUCAACAACUGGUCCAGGUCCAAAUGGUAGAACAAUAUCUGGUGUUACUUAUAGAUACAAUCCCACCCAAAUCAGGAUUGUUUGUGCUUGUCAUGGGUCUCACAUGUCACCGGAAGAGUUUGUGCGGCAUGCUAGCGAAGAGCAAACUAGUCAAGAAGGUGGUGCUGGUGUUUCAUCGUUUCCAAGUAGCAAUCCUGCUGCCUCUGCACAAAGCUGAUUUAGUAUAUGAAAUCAUAUGUCGAAGAAUGAAGUAAGCUUUUAUUAUAUCCCCAUAUAAAUUUUAAGAAGCAGAAGCAUCUUUAUAUUAUUUAGUUCAAAUGAAUGAGUCCAGAUUUCUUAAUAUGCAUAUGCACAUAUCCCAUUAAAUUGUAAUAGUCUAUCCUCUGAGCCAAAUAUUUGUGAUAAAAUUAUGACCUUUUGCUUAUCAAGCACUCUCUUGGGGCUUUCC
RNAcentral lists this unclassified non-coding RNA (677 nucleotides) under Hevea brasiliensis (rubber tree). Lineage: Eukaryota; Viridiplantae; Streptophyta; Magnoliopsida; Malpighiales; Euphorbiaceae. The record is from RNAcentral.